Molecule: ribosomal RNA, 253 nt
Filed under: uncultured bacterium
Lineage: Bacteria
Description: partial 16S ribosomal RNA
Rfam family: Bacterial small subunit ribosomal RNA
Source: RNAcentral
UACGUAGGGCGCAAGCGUUGUCCGGAAUUAUUGGGCGUAAAGAGCUCGUAGGCGGUCUGUUACGUCCGCUGUGAAAACCCAGGGCUUAACCCUGGGCUUGCAGUGGAUACGGGUAGACUAGAGGCAGGUAGGGGAGAAUGGAAUUCCCGGUGUAGCGGUGAAAUGCGCAGAUAUCGGGAGGAACACCGGUGGCGAAGGCGGUUCUCUGGGCCUGACCUGACGCUGAGGAGCGAAAGCGUGGGGAGCGAACGGG